RNAcentral lists this ribosomal RNA (276 nucleotides) under uncultured prokaryote. Its description in RNAcentral is "partial 16S ribosomal RNA". It matches the Rfam family "Bacterial small subunit ribosomal RNA", at positions 524 to 801 of the family's 1533-position model. The record is from RNAcentral.
UACGUAGGGGCUAGCGUUAUCCGGAAUUACUGGGCGUAAAGGGUGCGUAGGUGGUUUCUUAAGUCAGAGGUGAAAGGCUACGGCUCAACCGUAGUAAGCCUUUGAAACUGGGAAACUUGAGUGCAGGAGAGGAGAGUGGAAUUCCUAGUGUAGCGGUGAAAUGCGUAGAUAUUAGGAGGAACACCAGUUGCGAAGGCGGCUCUCUGGACUGUGACUGACACUGAGGCACGAAAGCGUGGGGAGCAAACAGGAUUAGAUACCCGCGUAGUCCCUGAG